UGAAUCAGAGGAAUGGCAUUUCCCUCAAGCCCUGGCAUUUGCAGCUUCUGGAAUCAGAGGCUCAUCUGUUGUUGCAAUUACAUGUGACAAAGAAAUUCUUACAGGUGGCCAUGUAGACAACAGCGUACGGCUGAUAUCAUCAGAUGGGGCAAAAACUUUAGAAGUAGCCAGAGGACAUUGUGCUCCUGUAACAUGCCUGUCUUUGUCUUCAGAUAGCAAUUAUCUUGUAACAGGGUCUAGAGACUCCACCGUGCUUCUCUGGAGAAUAAAUAGGGCGUCAACACUGCACAGAAGCAGCACAUCAGAGGCUUCCACUGGUUCAAGCACACCUUCAACCAGUACUACACCAAACAGCUUGAGAGAUAAAAGUAAGAGGCAUCGAAUCGAGGGUCCCAUACAUGUCCUACGAGGCCAUCUUGGGGAUAUAUUAUGUUGCUGUGUUAGUUCAGAUCUUGGUAUUGUGGUUUCAUGCUCCAAUUCGUCAGAUGUUUUGCUACAUACCAUAAGAAGGGGUCGAUUGGUCAGAAGGCUGGUUGGAGUGGAGGCACAUUCUGUCUGUCUGUCAUCUGAUGGAAUUAUAAUGGCUUGGAACAAGUUCCAUAAAACACUAAGCACCUUUACUCUUAAUGGGAUUCUUAUUGCUAGAACUCAGUUUCCUCUCUGCUCCACCAUUAGUUGCAUGGAGAUUUCUGUUGACGGACAAAAUGCUUUGCUUGGGGUAAAUCCAUAUUCUGAAAAUGAUGGACCAUCGGACAACAAGUUGCAAAAGCCAGAACUUGGAGAUUCUGAUGGAGAAUUAGAUGAAAACAGUGAAGGAAAUAGAUUAGAUAUCUCUGUCCCUUCAAUCUGCUUCCUCGACAUUUUUACUUUAAAGGUAUCUCACAUUAUGAAGCUUGGA
RNAcentral lists this unclassified non-coding RNA (898 nucleotides) under Hevea brasiliensis (rubber tree). The record is from RNAcentral. Lineage: Eukaryota; Viridiplantae; Streptophyta; Magnoliopsida; Malpighiales; Euphorbiaceae.